AUGCACGCUGGCGGCGUGCCUAAUACAUGCAAGUCGCGCGAACAGACGAGGAGCUUGCUCCUCUGACGUUAGCGGCGGACGGGUGAGUAACACGUGGAUAACCUACCUAUAAGACUGGGAUAACUUCGGGAAACCGGAGCUAAUACCGGAUAAUAUAUUGAACCGCAUGGUUCAAUAGUGAAAGACGGUUUUGCUGUCACUUAUAGAUGGAUCCGCGCCGCAUUAGCUAGUUGGUAAGGUAACGGCUUACCAAGGCAACGAUGCGUAGCCGACCUGAGAGGGUGAUCGGCCACACUGGAACUGAGACACGGUCCAGACUCCUACGGGAGGCAGCAGUAGGGAAUCUUCCGCAAUGGGCGAAAGCUUGACGGAGCAACGCCGCGUGAGUGAUGAAGGUCUUCGGAUCGUAAAACUCUGUUAUUAGGGAAGAACAAAUGUGUAAGUAACUAUGCACGUCUUGACGGUACCUAAUCAGAAAGCCACGGCUAACUACGUG
This 496-nucleotide ribosomal RNA is filed under the name uncultured bacterium. Its description in RNAcentral is "partial 16S ribosomal RNA". It matches the Rfam family "Bacterial small subunit ribosomal RNA", at positions 29 to 507 of the family's 1533-position model. The record is from RNAcentral.